GAUGAACGCUAGCGGCAUGCCUAACACAUGCAAGUCGAGGGAGAGGUUACCUUCGGGUAACCACAACCGGCGCACGGGUGCGUAACGCUUAUACAAUCUGCCUUUCGCGUAGGGAUAGGCCGAAGAAGUUGGGAUUAAUACCUAAUGGUAUAUAAGAUGGGCAUCGUUUUUAUAUUAAAGCUACGGUGGUUAAAGAUGAGUAUGCGUUCGAUUAGCUAGUUGGAGAGGUAACGGCUCCCCAAGGCGACGAUAGAUAGGGGUUAUGAGAGGGAUGUCCACCACACUGGAGCCGAGAUACGGACUACAAUCGUACGGGAGGCAGCAGUGAGGAAUACUGGACGAUGGACGGUAGACUGAUACAGCCACGCCGCGUGCAGGAUGAAGGUCCUAUGGAUUGUAAACUGCUUUUGUAAGGGAAGAAUACGGAGUACGUGUACUUUGAUGACGGUACCUUACGAAUAAGCAUCGGCUAACUCCGUG
Molecule: ribosomal RNA, 480 nt
Filed under: uncultured bacterium
Lineage: Bacteria
Description: partial 16S ribosomal RNA
Rfam family: Bacterial small subunit ribosomal RNA
Source: RNAcentral